GAAGUAAGUUGCUUCACCAAGUGUUGAAUAGAUACCCCAAGCGCAUUUGCCAAAGGGUAAGCGAAAAGUACUAUCAAUUAAAUAAAAUGGUGAAACAAAAGAAUAGCGAAGAAGAAGCAAAUGCGCUUCACGCUAAUUCCAAGUACCAACACAAAACAAAUUCAAUGUUUGGUGAAGCAACUUGCUUAGUGGCGGACGGGUGAGUAACGCGUGAACAAUCUGCCCCGUACAAAGGGAUAGCCUCGGGAAACCGGGAUUAAAACCAUAUAACACUUAACUGCCGCAUGGUAAUAAAGUCAAAUCGAGUAAGAGGUAUGGGAUGAGUUCGCGUCUGAUUAGCUAGUUGGUGAGGUAAGGGCUCACCAAGGCGACGAUCAGUAGCCGGCCUGAGAGGGUGAACGGCCACACUGGAACUGAGACACGGUCCAGACUCCUACGGGAGGCAGCAGUGGGGAAUAUUGCACAAUGGAGGGAACUCUGAUGCAGCGACGCCGCGUGAGUGAAGAAGGUCUUCGGAUCGUAAAACUCUGUCCUUGGUGAAGAAAAGGACGGUAGCCAAGGAGGAAGUCCCGGCUAACUACGUGCCAGCAGCCGCGGUAAUACGUAGGGGGCGAGCGUUGUCCGGAUUUACUGGGCGUAAAGGGUGAGUAGGCGGUUAUAUAUGUCA
RNAcentral lists this ribosomal RNA (667 nucleotides) under uncultured bacterium. RNAcentral describes it as "bacterial SSU rRNA". It matches the Rfam family "Bacterial small subunit ribosomal RNA", at positions 68 to 590 of the family's 1533-position model. The record is from RNAcentral.